Long non-coding RNA from Felis catus (domestic cat), 621 nucleotides. RefSeq lists it as uncharacterized. Lineage: Eukaryota; Metazoa; Chordata; Mammalia; Carnivora; Felidae. The transcript has 2 exons. The record is from RefSeq and is a predicted model, not a curated record.
CAAAUGAUUCAUGAGCUCAGCAAUAAAUCAGAGUGAACCAAAACAACUGAGCAAUAGGACAAAUCUUAGCUGGAAAGGCUGGAAGUUUCCAGGGGAAACAAUAUUAAAUAUAAACCCUUUCCUAUGUGCUGAUAACUAUAUUGGCUUCAAGUUUCUGAACCAUUGAAAGUGAUGACAAAUCUAGCUUUACAACAUGCCAAAUGCAUCAUUUCCUUCCCUUUCCCCUCUACACCACACCCUCCCCCACCCCAACGUUUGAGAAAAUAGCUUAGGACAGCAAACUCUACAGGAUUAUACUCUAGAGCUUUAGUCUGGCUUCUCCGGGGAGAUGUUGGCUUUUUCUUCAGAUAACAACUGUUCUGCAGGGAAGCAGAUACUGAGAAAGCAGCUCUUAGAAGAAAGAACAGAGAUGAUACUGGGAAAGUACUAAAGAUCAGACACUCAGAAGUGCAAGCAAAUGUCAUCUAUUUAAGUAACCCAGACAAUCCAAGAAGCAGUCUGAAGGGAGUUUGAUGCUAAAUUGCUCUGAAGACUUGGGAGGUAAAUCCUAAUCGUGUCAAAGAUUUGGCACAAAGACAUGUUUCAGAGUGAGUUAAUAAACAAACAUGCUGAUGGAUAGUA